RNAcentral lists this ribosomal RNA (879 nucleotides) under Anastrepha fraterculus. RNAcentral's name for it is "partial 16S ribosomal RNA". The record is from RNAcentral. Lineage: Eukaryota; Metazoa; Arthropoda; Insecta; Diptera; Tephritidae.
UAGUUUUUUUAGAAAUAAAUUUAAUUUACAAAUUUUUAAUUUUUAAUUUAUUUUUUAAAUUUAAAAAUUUAUUAAUUUGAAUAUUUUAAGGGAUAAGCUUUAAAAUAAAAUAUUAAAAAUUAUUGAAUAAUUUAUUUAAAAUGUAUGCAUAGAAUUAGCAAUCAUUUAUAAGUUUGUUAUAAAUUAUUUUAUAAUUUAUAUUAUUUAAUUUUGUUUUCAUUGAAUUUAUAAAAAUUUUUUUAUUAAUUUUAAAUAAAAAGUAAUAAUGAUCGAAUUAGUAUAUUUAAUUAUUAUUGUUAAAAUAUUUUAUAUUGAAAAGUUUAUAUAAAGAACUCGGCAAAUUUAUUUAUACUCGCCUGUUUAACAAAAACAUGUCUUUUUGAAUUAUAUUUAAAGUCUGACCUGCCCACUGAAUAAUUUUAAAUGGCCGCAGUAUUCUGACUGUGCAAAGGUAGCAUAAUCAUUAGUCUUUUAAUUGAAGGCUGGUAUGAACGGUUGGACGAAGUAUAAGCUGUUUCAUAUAAAUUUAUAAUAGAAUUUUAUAUUUUAGUUAAAAAGCUAAAAUUUUAUUAAAAGACGAGAAGACCCUAUAAAUCUUUAUAUUUAAUAUUAACUAAAUUUUUUUGAUUUAUUUUAUUUUUUUAAUAUUAAUUAUUUUGUUGGGGUGAUAUUAAAAUUUAAUGAACUUUUAAUUUUUUUAAAAUCAUUAAUUUAUGAAUUAUUGAUCCAUUAGUAUUGAUUAUAAGAUUAAGUUACUUUAGGGAUAACAGCGUAAUUUUUUUUGAGAGUUCAUAUCGACAAAAAAGUUUGCGACCUCGAUGUUGGAUUAAGGUAUAAUUUUGGGUGUAGCCGUUCAAAAAUUAAGUCUGUUCGACUUUU